Molecule: ribosomal RNA, 253 nt
Filed under: uncultured bacterium
Lineage: Bacteria
Description: partial 16S ribosomal RNA
Rfam family: Bacterial small subunit ribosomal RNA
Source: RNAcentral
GACGAACCGUGCGAACGUUAUUCGGAAUCACUGGGCUUAAAGCGUGUGUAGGCGGAUGCCUAAGUACCUUGUGAAAUCCCACGGCUCACCCGUGGAACUGCUUGGUAUACUGGGUGUCUUGAGCCACUUAGGGGCUACCGGAACAAAUGGUGGAGCGGUGAAAUGCGUAGAUAUCAUUUGGAACGCCAAUGGUGAAAACAGGUAGCUGGGAGUGUGCUGACGCUGAGACACGAAAGCCAGGGGAGCAAACGGG